AAUUCUCAACUUUGCUUGUCUUUUUGUUCGAGCGAAGCUUGGAUUUUGGAGCGUGCUGGCGAAGGUCGGCUCCUCUUUAAAUGCAUUAGCGGAAAGGUCAUAUUCGACUUUUGCGGUGAAUCGGCGUGAUAAUGAUGUUGUUGCGUCGUUGGCCCAAAGGUCUCUGUCCGCUUACAAUGGUCUUCGGACGACUUUAUUAUGAA
This 203-nucleotide unclassified non-coding RNA is filed under the name uncultured Byssocorticium. RNAcentral describes it as "sequence contains ITS2". Lineage: Eukaryota; Fungi; Basidiomycota; Agaricomycetes; Atheliales; Atheliaceae. The record is from RNAcentral.